GACGAACGCUGGCGGCGUGCUUAACACAUGCAAGUCGAACGGAAAGGCCCUGCUUUUGUGGGGUGCUCGAGUGGCGAACGGGUGAGUAACACGUGAGUAACCUGCCCUUUACUUUGGGAUAACUUCAGGAAACUGGGGCUAAUACCGGAUAGGAGCUCCUGCUGCAUGGUGGGGGUUGGAAAGUUUCGGCGGUUGGGGAUGGACUCGCGGCUUAUCAGCUUGUUGGUGGGGUAUUGGCUUACCAAGGCUUUGACGGGUAGCCGGCAUGAGAGGGUGACCGGGAAAAUUGGGACUGAGAUACGGCGCAGACGCCAACGGGAGGCAGCAGUGGGGAAUAGUGCACAAUGGGCGGAAGCCUGAUGCAGAAACGCCGCGUGCGGGAUGACGGCCUUCGGGUUGUAAAACGAUUUCGCAUGUGACGAAGAGUGAGUGACGGUAAUGGGUAAAGAAGCAACGGCUAACUACGUG
RNAcentral lists this ribosomal RNA (468 nucleotides) under uncultured bacterium. RNAcentral describes it as "partial 16S ribosomal RNA". It matches the Rfam family "Bacterial small subunit ribosomal RNA", at positions 28 to 507 of the family's 1533-position model. The record is from RNAcentral.